CGGAGCAGGGCGGGCGCCCCUUCCCCACCGGCGGGCAUCGGCCUGCCCUGAGCGUUUCUCGGAGGGGACCCGGCAGCGGGGCGGCCGCUAUGGGGUCCGGAGGCGGGCUGGGGCUGGCAGCGGUGCUGGCCGUCGCCGUGCUGUGCGGGCCCGGGGGGCUGGCCGGCCGCGUCCUCAGCGGUCAAAAGGUGUGCUAUGGUGACUUCAAGCAUUCUUGUUACAAGUUAGCUUACUUCCAGGACUUGUCUAGACGUGUGGGCUUUCAGGAGGCCCGCCAAGCUUGUGAAAUUGAUGGUGGGGCUUUACUGAGCUUGGAAAGUGAAGCUGAGCAGCAACUAAUAGAAAACAUGUUACAAAACCUCACUAAAUCAGGCUCCGGGAUUUCUGAUGGUGAUUUCUGGAUUGGGUUGUGGAGAAGUGGUGAUGGACUAGCCAGCUCAAGUGCUUGCCCUGACCUCUACCAGUGGGCCGAUGGAAGUAUUUCAUCAUUCAGAAAUUGGUAUACAGAUGAGCCUUCCUGUGGAAGUGAAGCCUGUGUUGUGAUGUAUCAUCAGCCGACUGCAAACCCUGGUCUGGGGGGGCCAUACCUUUAUCAAUGGAAUGAUGAUAGAUGCAACAUGAAGCACAAUUUUAUCUGCAAGUAUGGCCCAGAUAAUGUCUUACAAAAAGAAUUAGGAGACAGAGCGGAGCCAGAUUACGAUACCUUUCCAACUGUGCCAGCAGGAAAUCCUUACGACACGAGCAAACCAGAAGAUCAGUAUCAUGUUAUUGCUACUGAAACAGGUAUAAUUCCAAACCUAAUUUAUGUCGUAAUACCCACUAUACCACUACUGCUGUUGAUACUGGUGGCUUUUGGGACUUGCUGUUUCCAGAUGCUUCAUAAAAGGGAAGCAAGGAGAAACUGCUUCAAAGACCCAUCUCCAUUAUCAUCUGAAUGCCUUGCAGAAAGUUUAAAUUCCAACCUGUAAAGGAAGAACAAAAACCAGUCCAAACCAGUCCACACUAUGGAUUUCAAAGACGCCUAGGAAGGACAGUAGCAUGGAGCUGCCAGUAUGAAAACCACUUCCUUGCCUGCACUUCCAUUCACCAGUCCUCAGUUGCCUCUUGGUCAGCACAGGAGAGUCCAAAAGGCAACAGAGGCAUUGCAUGUGCUGAAUACCCAUCCUGUGUGCUUCUCUGAGUCUCAUCUAUGAAGCAGCAUGCCGGGAAGAAAUGUGGAGUGGUUGAGACGUCUGUAAAUAUGAUCUUCACUUAGGACUAGCAAAAGCAAUUAUGCCUGUGGAAUCUCCUCACAUAUAUAUUCAAGGCAGGAUUUUGCCCUGUUACAAAGCUAUCCUGCCAAGAAAUACAUUACCUAAGGGCAUCAGAGAACAGUUUCGCUGUCUCUGCCACCACAGCUUUCAAGUCCUAUGAUACGCACCCUCUUUUGCUUCUAUGGUAGUUACGCUUGAAUAAAGACCAAAGACAAUGUGAGAAAUACAAUUUAUAAUUUGAUUACCAGUUAAUGAAUUUGGUGUGGUUUUUUUUUUUUAAAUUAUCAAAUCUGUGUCAUCUUUCUAUUAUUCAUUAUCUGUACCAAAAAAGUGUGCAAAUGUGCAAAUGGUGUCACCCUGUGAAACGAUUCCUAUCAGCUGUCCAGAUGAAACAUGGUAGAAGAUACCUAUUUCUUCAGCAGAUAUACAACUUAAGAUAAAUGAACUUAUUCCAUUUCCUCCUGCAUUAAUCACUUUCUAGUGUUUAAUAGAUAUUAACAGAAGACAUCUUUAAAUCAUUACUCUUUAAGAUCUCUUGUGGCAAUGCUGGUUUAGAUAUCCACUCAAGAAAAAAGAAAAAUAGCUUGCAAUGAUAUUCCAUUAGUUUAAGAUACUUGCAUUACCAAUGAGAAUGACAAAUGUUUGGGAUCAGCAGAGUAAGAUUAAACCAUAAAAUGUAUUUUUUUUUUUUACUGUAGAUAAAAUACAGCAUGGCAAAUUAUGAAUUAAUUCCUACUUUGUUACUAUGUGGUAUGUUUAUGAAGGAAAUGUAAAAGAAUGUGGACUCGCUGUAUUCAACAUGGUUUCAGCAUUUAAAGCAAUUAGACAUAAUUUUCUGCCUUAGUGCUUUUGGUAGGAUUCCAGAAAAAUGUGUAUAAUAACCCUUCUUAUAAGUAGAAAGAUAAUACUUGAAGUCAUAUAUAUAUAUAUAUAUAUAUAUAAUUUGAUCAUAGCAAGCCUUUCUCCUUUUGGAGGUGUACUGUAAAUCCCAGAAUUACCUGAGAAUAUAAUACUGUGCUAAAGUUAAAUUUUAAUCUGCAAGAAACUUUACCAGAGUAUAGGACCCUUCAGAAUCACUUCAGCUGUUAUUUGGACUGAGAAAGAUUAGAAUAUAAUUGAAUGUAUGCCAAGGAUCAUCUCAUCUAAUGAUUCACUUCUAAACGUGGAGACAAAUCCAGAAGUCAUUUUUGAGAGGGAAUGAUUUGUCUAUAUAUAGAUAUCUGUAUGUGGGUUGCUUACUUUAGUAAUUAGUCCUAAGUCUGUAUUAAUAAAGUCAAUGGUUUACAGAAGUUCACUCAUCAUAUUUCAAGACAUCACCUUCAUGGAUCACACUUUGGAGUGCUUAUUUUUACGUUGACUACACAGAGAACCUAGUGUGAUAACCACUAUGUAACUAUGGGUGAAUGCCACUCCAAUUCUUCUACUAUAUUACAUAUUCAUAAUUAAAGAUUUCUAGAUAAGAAAUGUUUUGUAAAAAUAGCAUUAUUUAUCGUUUCUAAAGUAAAUGUAUGAAGACUUCACUUAAGAGUGUCCUGAAUGCUAGCUAAAAAUGUAGCAAGCAUCUCCUUUUAAAUUUACGAUAGAUGGACAAGAAUGGAAAGGGGAAGAGUGAGUUGCCCAGUGUUACACAGAAUUCAGCAGCAGACAGAGAAUAAAAUCUGGGUAUGUUUAUAGUCCAGACUUCAUAUAGAAUCAUGUUACCUCUCAGAUAAACUUGAGCUAGAAAUUAGUGUAGAAAUGAUCACCACCAUACUUUAUUCUUUGUAUGAGGAAGAAACCUCCAUCUACCCACCUUUUUGUAAAUAUUAGGCUGUGGUUCACUGUUGUGGUGAUGUUGACAAAUGGGCCAUCUCCAGUGAAUAAUACAGUUGAUGACAUAUUUGCAUCCCUGGAAGGAAAAGACACACGUGCAUAGUUGUAGGUAUUUUUUUCCUGUUCCACCAGUGGAGGAAUGUUUGAGAAAUGAUUAUGGUGGUUGAAUAAACUGCAUCAUUUUAUUCCUGAAAUAAUUACUAUUUAUCAGUUGAUAUUUGAGGCUUGAACUCACAUGAAUUAAAAUGCAACUCACCUACUUUCACUCUUACAUCUUACUCUAAGAUUUAUAAUACUACAAUAAUAUUGAAAAAGACAGAAAUUAAUUAUUUUAAUAGCAUAAAAGAUCAAUUUCUGUUUUUCUGUGUAACAAUGAAGGGUUUGCAGUACCAAUUUUUAAAUAUAUGGAUCUAAAACUUAGCAUGCAAAAUGGAACCAUAAUAGAUGAACCUUGGAAGAUCACAGUUUUGCUUUUUUGAGGGGAGAUAAUUACAUCGAUACUAUACUUCUGUGCCUAAAGAAGAAAUGAAACUAUUUUAUAUCAUGAAGAACCUAAUGGAAUAAAUGCCACCUUCCUUAGAAAUUAGUUCCACCUUGUAGAUCUGUUCAAAUCAAAAUAACUGUUUGUGGAGUAGAGUCAAGGGUGUCAUGUUUGCUAUUGAACAGGACAAUUCCUCUGAAGUGGGGUAUAUUCCUCAACUAACUGUUUUUUUGUAAUUAUGGCCUUUUGAACACCAAGAAUUCUGUGUGUUAUCAGUGAGAUAAAUUGUUUUAAUGUUUACAACCCAUAUCCAGAUUUACUUUAUAACCCAUUAUGCACCAUAUAUUUUGUGAUACUGCAUAUGACCAGCUUGGAACAUACACUCAAGAAACAUAUUUGCUUUCUCUUGAGGAAGCAUGGGGAAAAAAGAUAGCUGUGGUCAGACUACAUAAUUUUUUGAGGGGUGACAGUGUACUCCCACCUGAGCCUUUAGCCAUACAUUAUCUCAGGUGCAAGAGGAGAACAAUUUGUGCAGGUUUAAUACACAGGGAGCACCUGUGUAGAAGGAAGCACCAUCUCUUCUCUUCAAGUGCAGUAAAUCUCAUUCUCCUGGGAAGUCUAGAAUCAUCCUGCAAAUUUGCUGUGUAUGGAGAGUAAGACCGGCCAUAGGAGAAAGGGGUUCAAUAGCUCUGCUGUGCCACUAGGACAGCUGCAUGACCUACCCUACUGAAAAAGUAAUUACUGCAGCAUUUCUCAGCCUGGAAAUGAUCAAGGCCUUAAUGCUGUCUCUAGAUAGAUAGGUAGAUAGUGUCUGUACACUCUAGUUCACAGACUUUUAUAUUGAUAAAACACUAGUACACUAAUACGUAUUUCAGAAAUUACCCCAGAACCCUGACUUGACCUGUUAGAUGGUCUGGGAGAGUAGUGAAGUGCCAACCCAGGUAGGUAAAGUCAAAUUAUACAAUGAAGAACUUAAGUGAGACCAGUCUAAUCACUGAGCUACAGUAAGUACAAAUGUGUGAAAAAGGCACUAAAUUGUUUCUUUGAAAAGAGUGGGCCAGGAGCUUUUACCGAUGUAAAAAAUAAACAUGUUGUCAGGAAAAGCUUAGAGUAUGUACAUUUAUGAAUAUCACUGGCUUAUAUUUUACAUGGCAUAUUAUACCAGGAAACUUCAAAUGAAUGCACGUGUGCUUUACUAGAUUACUCUUAACAGACUCUGUAAUAGGGCAAACACUAUAAACCUUCCAAGUCAAAGCUUCCACCAACCUCAUAAUACUCGUGAAGAUCUCUUGACUCACCUCAGUAUCUUUCUUGGUCUUUUUCAGCAAAGACUGAGCAAACUAUUUCCCACUCCUCUGCUGAAAUUUCUGGAUUACAGUUUGGCACUUCUCUGAGCUUCUCUGUAACCACAGGAGCUUUAUUAAGCUUUUUGAAAUAAAAUCUAAGCCCUUUUUUGAGAAAAACAUUGAUAAUUUCAUUUAGUUAUUUAGUGCACUGAAGCACACACAACUGGAAAUCUCUAAGCCUUUUAUUGGUAAAUGAUGAGGAUUAAGCAUUCCUGUAAGUAUAAGAAAUCUUGUACUUUUUUUCCUGGAGAUAUUCAGUUUAGUAACAGGAAUAUAGUCUCUUCUGCAGGUCCCCAAAUGCAGUGUCACAGGUCUCUAAUUUCUGUUUUGGAAGAUGAUCUUUUAGAAAUCUUUCAGGUUGUGACAAAAAUGCUCUUUAAGAGGCUAACCUAGGUGUUAAGUAACUCUCAAUCUAUUCAACAUGUUCACCAGGCAAAACUUUCAGAAAACUUAGAGAACAGUCUUGGAAGUUUAUUAUGCACAGAUGUAAAGAGAUAUCUGUGCAGUGAAUUCCUCAGAUAUUAUUGGUUUUCAUGUACCUAAAUACUCUAUGGAUCACUAUGACUUCAGCCUUUCUGUUUCGUAAGUGCUCAGUAACGAUAAGCAGUUACAAAUGUUGUGAAAGAUUCACAUUAAGUGGUACCAUGCUGAAAAAAAAAUUCAGAAUAAGGAUAGAAAGAAGUAUGAUGGAUAGCUCCAGUUCUUUUCCCUGUUUAAAAAAAACCAACAAACCAACUAUUUUCUUAUUUGAAGAAAACAUGUUCACACAUUUUGCAAUUAAUUGUUUAGUUCUCAGGCUGUGGAAUGUUUGCAGUUUGUUUAAUUUGUGUUUGAGACACAGGGCAGUGUUUCUUUUUCAUCCACUGAUUUUUCUGACAGAAAAACAAACAAUGAAGAAUAGUAGUAAAUUACAAACAGGGAACAUUUUCUUGGGCAUAAAAAAAGCUUUGGUCAUGUGAAUUUAUAUGAAGAGCUGCUGUUUUCUAAAUGCUUGUGUGCACACAAUUUUAUAUAUGAAAAUUUGAAGAUGAUAAAUAGAAGUAACCUCUCUAUA
RNA transcript from Falco peregrinus (peregrine falcon), 5946 nucleotides. It is a transcript of the gene named chondrolectin, with no coding region annotated. The transcript is spliced from 9 exons. NCBI's taxonomy places the organism in Eukaryota, Metazoa, Chordata, Aves, Falconiformes, Falconidae. The record is from RefSeq and is a predicted model, not a curated record.